GGCGAGGUGAGGCGGGGCCGAGGGCGGGGCUGAGGGGCGGGCUUGGAGGACUGAACGGGGGUGCGGAUAGAAGAGGAGGAGACUGAGGCGGGGGGGGAGGGGCUGAAGCCGUCUCUGGCGGAGAGUGUGCGUCAUGACGUCAUGGCGCAGAAUACUUAUAUACAGGCGCCUGGUCGCCAUCUCGGUCUUUCGUGGCUGCGAGCCGGUUGUUCCCCGUUUUUGUAUGCUGCUAAGAAACGCGGCAGGCAUGACUCCAGUGUGGAUUUUGAUGGCUUCUGGUGGGCAGUUGUGUACCAGAAGGAUGACAACUACUGCUGUGGUCUUAAAGCUCAAGCUUGAUGCUGUAUCUAUGAGCAGACAGCCAUUAAGCAGACUUGACUGGAAGUUGAAGAGGUGAACUUGAAUCCUUGACCUGUCAAAAGCAGUUGGCCUUUUUGAUGAUGGCUACAUGUUUUUUUCUAUGGAUGACUUCUUUGGGGUAAGACACGAAAACACUCACUACUGGCAUUUGGGCUUACAUUGUUUCUGAAAUGUGCUGGUCCAAGUAGUUGACGUUUGAUAGUGUUCUCUGAUGGACAAAUCAAUCUUGCCUAAUUAUUAAGCAAGGUACUGUUGGUGAUGAUUUUUAUAAUAAAACAGAUGGGAAUCUCUCUGAAAAAGAAUGA
This 665-nucleotide long non-coding RNA is filed under the name Bos mutus (wild yak). Its description in RNAcentral is "lncRNA (ENSBMUG00000004989.1)". The stretch from base 608 to 665 matches the Rfam family "Small nucleolar RNA SNORD79", at positions 1 to 58 of the family's 83-position model. Lineage: Eukaryota; Metazoa; Chordata; Mammalia; Artiodactyla; Bovidae. The record is from RNAcentral.